UGGUACCGUAUAUCUGACUAAAUUAUAACUGUCAUGUAGAUAUGGGGUAUCCAUAAUCUCCACACUAUUGCCGUCGUAUGCCCUGGGCUUCGGCAGCCACGCCGUGACGACGCUGGAGAAGACCUGACCAUGAAAAUCCUGAAACUCUGAAACGAUUUCA
RNAcentral lists this small nucleolar RNA (160 nucleotides) under Oryza sativa Japonica Group (Japanese rice). RNAcentral describes it as "Small nucleolar RNA Z242". The record is from RNAcentral. Lineage: Eukaryota; Viridiplantae; Streptophyta; Magnoliopsida; Poales; Poaceae.